Molecule: ribosomal RNA, 271 nt
Filed under: uncultured bacterium
Lineage: Bacteria
Description: partial small subunit ribosomal RNA
Rfam family: Bacterial small subunit ribosomal RNA
Source: RNAcentral
AGAAUCAACGCUGGCGGCGUGCCUAACACAUGCAAGUCGAACGCGAAAGUCCCGCAAGGGAUGAGUAGAGUGGCAAACGGGUGAGUAACACGUGGGUGACCUGCCCUCGAGCGGGGAUAACGUCCCGAAAGGGACGCUAAUACCGCAUGACAUCCUGCCUUUGAACAGGCGGAGAUCAAAGCUGGGGAUCGCAAGACCUAGCACUCGAAGAGGGGCCCGCGCCUGAUUAGCUAGUUGGUGAGGUAACGGCUCACCAAGGCGACGAUCAGUA